Small nucleolar RNA from Magnolia sinica, 117 nucleotides. RefSeq annotates it as small nucleolar RNA Z278. NCBI's taxonomy places the organism in Eukaryota, Viridiplantae, Streptophyta, Magnoliopsida, Magnoliales, Magnoliaceae. The record is from RefSeq and is a predicted model, not a curated record. The transcript has a single exon.
GCUGAUGAUGAUUAAUCCAUGUUUUCUGAGGUGUAGUUAGUUUCAAGCCCCUGUCUUUACAGGGAGAACCUACUUGAAACUGCUACAUUCAUAUGAGAUUACCGGAUCUGCUGAGGC